UUUGAUCCUGGCUCAGAACGAACGCUGGCGGCAGGCUUAACACAUGCAAGUCGAGCGCCUCGCAAGAGGAGCGGCAGACGGGUGAGUAACGCGUGGGAAUCUACCGUACCCUACGGAACAACUCCGGGAAACUGGAGCUAAUACCGUAUACGCCCUACGGGGGAAAGAUUUAUCGGGGUAUGAUGAGCCCGCGUUGGAUUAGCUAGUUGGUGGGGUAAAGGCCUACCAAGGCGACGAUCCAUAGCUGGUCUGAGAGGAUGAUCAGCCACAUUGGGACUGAGACACGGCCCAAACUCCUACGGGAGGCAGCAGUGGGGAAUAUUGGACAAUGGGCGCAAGCCUGAUCCAGCCAUGCCGCGUGAGUGAUGAAGGUCUUAGGAUUGUAAAGCUCUUUCACCGGAGAAGAUAAUGACGGUAUCCGGAGAAGAAGCCCCGGCUAACUUCGUGCCAGCAGCCGCGGUAAUACGAAGGGGGCUAGCGUUGUUCGGAAUUACUGGGCGUAAAGCGCACGUAGGCGGAUAUUUAAGUCAGGGGUGAAAUCCCAGAGCUCAACUCUGGAACUGCCUUUGAUACUGGGUAUCUUGAGUAUGGAAGAGGUAAGUGGAAUUCCGAGUGUAGAGGUGAAAUUCGUAGAUAUUCGGAGGAACACCAGUGGCGAAGGCGGCUUACUGGUCCAUUACUGACGCUGAGGUGCGAAAGCGUGGGGGAGCAAACAGGAUUAGAUACCCUGGUAGUCCACGCCGUAAACGAUGAAUGUUAGCCGUCGGGCAGUUUGACUGUUCGGUGGCGCAGCUAACGCAUUAAACAUUCCGCCUGGGGGAGUACGGUCGCAAGAUUAAAACUCAAAGGAAUUGACGGGGGGCCCGCACAAGCGGKGGAGCAUGUGGUUUAAUUUCGAAGCAACGCGCAGAACCUUACCAGCUCUUGACAUCUGGGUCGCGGGUUACCGG
Molecule: ribosomal RNA, 950 nt
Filed under: uncultured bacterium
Lineage: Bacteria
Description: bacterial SSU rRNA
Rfam family: Bacterial small subunit ribosomal RNA
Source: RNAcentral